This 21-nucleotide non-coding RNA is filed under the name Caenorhabditis elegans. Lineage: Eukaryota; Metazoa; Nematoda; Chromadorea; Rhabditida; Rhabditidae. The record is from RNAcentral.
CGAGACUUUAAUUUUUGAGCU